This 342-nucleotide ribosomal RNA is filed under the name Triticum aestivum (bread wheat). RNAcentral's name for it is "partial small subunit ribosomal RNA". The record is from RNAcentral. Lineage: Eukaryota; Viridiplantae; Streptophyta; Magnoliopsida; Poales; Poaceae.
AUGGCUAUGGAAUUGCUGGAGGUCAGCGAAGCGGCGAUGGCCAAGUACUUCACCAUGAUGUUGGAUGGGACUGCCCGCACUUGGUUGAAAGGGCUGCCACCAAAUUCUAUCGGGUCUUGGGCUGAGCUGAAAGCCCGGUUUAUCCAAAACUUCAAAGAUACCUGUAGGCAGUCUAUGUCAAUUGUGGAUUUGACUAAUUGUAAACAGCAGGAGGGCGAGUCUACGACACAUUGGGUUCGCCGGGUCAAAGAGAUAAUACAUUCAUCUGAUAAGAUGGAUGCCGGCUCUGCAGUCUUAAUGUUGGAGCAGAAUUGUCGUUUCCUGCCCCUGAAGAUGAAACUC